Molecule: long non-coding RNA, 370 nt
Filed under: Monodelphis domestica (gray short-tailed opossum)
Lineage: Eukaryota; Metazoa; Chordata; Mammalia; Didelphimorphia; Didelphidae
Description: lncRNA (ENSMODG00000030309.2)
Source: RNAcentral
AAAGCAAGAAUAACACCUUCCUUGCUCUGAUCUCUAAGCUUUUUUCAUUUUUUUUAGAUGUCCAUUCUUAUCUAAAAGAGAAGAUGCAAUGAAAGUGGACACAAACUAAUGAGAGCCCUAUCAAGUGAAGUGCGGAUGGCCUCCAACAACUGAUUUUCAGCAAGUGUUUUAUGAUAGAUGCAAUCCAUCAGAAAUUUUAUCUCUGGAAUCAAGAAAGCAUUCAGACCUAACAGUUUAUAGAUAAGAAAACUGAGGAAGAUAAAGUUUAAGUGAUUUCCUAUUGACUAGGGAGAAGAUAGAUCCAUCUUCCAUCUAGUGUCUGGGCAUCUACAGAUUGGUGAGUUGUUUCCACUUGGUUGUUUCCAUCUUU